GCCAUGUCGAAACCGCCUACUCGAGUGUUUUUCCAGUUACCUGCCACCCACCCACCAACUCCCCUUGGACUUUAGUUUGGGCUAGAACCUGACAAUUGGCAUCACGAACAGGAUCCUAAGGAAUUAGGCAAGCAGUGUUGCCAGUGUCCAGGGGAACCCCUGCCUGCCUGGAUGCUUCGUCUGUGGAACAAGGGAGCAGAUGGUAUCUCCCAUUCCACCUCUGAGAUGGACAAGCUGGCCUCCACCAUGACUCACCCCUCUCUCUGUCAGCGGCUGCAAGUGAGCAGGUGGUUAGUGGCAGCGCAAGGAGACCACACCCUGACUGAGUGGCUACAGGCAGCCAUAUGAACUGUGUGGAAUAAUGCUGGUGAAAUGCCCAAAACUAUUUAGAAGCAGUGGCACCCCUCUUGUGGCAACAUUUGGCAGCAUGCAGUUGGGCCAUCAACAAAUCCAAGGUCCGAGGGCCUGGAUUACCUGCUAAAUUCUUGGGAGUUAUCUGGUCGGGGCUGAAGUUCCAGGCUGGACCUGAUGCUCCAAACCUUGAAUGAAUGGCCAUGGAAAAGCAGCCCAGCCCAGGUGGAGGCUUUGUUACAUGGGCCACCACCCCUAUUCAGUUGCAGAUACACACCAAGGGUAACCGCCUCUGACCAGGUUAACAUGCUCCAACUGCAUUGUGGACUGGGCCCACACCUACACUGAAGUGACCAAUGUUUCCAACUGUUGGAUCUGCACCGCCCUUCUAGCAGCUGCAGAUGGCUUGCCUUAGCACAUACAUUCAGCAUCUGCAGAGAACCAGACAUGGCUGGAGACUUGGGGUCCCAUGGCUGAUGCCUGGAACGCAACGUGGCAAGUUUUGGACAAAGGAUGCCACAAGACCCACAGCACAGCCAUUCCCUGGCUGGCCCAUAGCAUUUAUGAUGGGUGGGGCUGGCUAGUGAGGUAACGUGCAGUACCCCUGGCCCAGGCACUGUGGUGCAUAUAGCAACACUGGGGUAAUAGCACUGUGGGAUGGGUACCCGUCACAGUGUGUGUAAGCAUAAUACAUGUCACCACACCAAAGGUAUGGUGGAAGACGCGGCCCCACCAAGGGGCCUCGAUGGACUGUGUGCCCCCUGGGAGUUUAUGGGUCUGUGGGGACACAGGGUGGCCUUACCUAUAAGCAAACUGGACUGGACAUUAUACCUGAGGGUGGCCUCAUGUACCUGCCACUGUUCUCACAUUGCCCAGAUGCCUGCAUAACUGGGAGGUGCUACACUCUCGGUUUUUGCAAGUGUAAUGAGCACCCUGGUGGUUUUACCCCUUGACAGGCACUAGCCCUGGAGUGUGUGUCACAACUGUAGAAGCCAAGUUACUGCUCUUGCAGAGCAUGCUGCUCAGGCUCUGAAUUACACCUGAGUGGCCCUCUUCCCAUUAAUGGAUGAGGUUGAUCAGAUCAGAAAGGUGGUGUUGCGAAACCGAAUGGUCUUAGACAUAGUAACUGCUGCCUAAGGAGGCACCUGUGCCCUUUUAGGAACACAAUGUUGUACCUUUAUCCCUGACAAUUGGCAGAACAUAACAGCAGCCCUGCAAGGGGUCUCACAGGAGAUUAAGGUAGUCAAGAGCCUUACUGAUGACCCCCUGCAGAGAUGGUAGACAUCCCUGGGCUCUGGCCUACGCUGGGCCCUGAUAGUCAUAAGUAGCAUAGCUGGAAUCCUAGUCGUGAGCUGUUGCUCUCCGUAUUGUUGCUGUGGAUUAUGGAUUCAGGGCUCCACCCUACGGGCACAUGUCCCUACCUGGAGGAUGCCCCUGGCCUAGGGGUGGAGUGUAAGGAAGAUGGCUGCGCUUUAGUCAGGAGCAGGCUGAGGCCACUUUUUGGUGCACCAUGACUCAGUGGGUUUGGAGCGUAGGCACACGACUCCGCACAUUAUGAACCAUGCCACUUGAGGUGCAUUAGGUGACCACUCACGUGAGCUCGUGAUUGCUUCAGAGCCUCUAUUGUCUGUAAAAGGUAUAAUUACCCUGCUGACACUGGACAUAUGGCUCGUGCCCAGAGAGAGGAUAAGGCCAUGUUCAAACUGCCUAUGAUUCCUCGGGUGUUUUUUCAGCUACCCCUCACCCACCCACCAACUCCCUUCGGACUUCAGUUUGGGCUAGAACCUUACACCCACAUAAACUAAAGCUGUAUGGGGUCCUCAGUUUUCAAGCACAUAAAAGUAUUCUGUAUCCAAAAAGUUUGUGAACCACUGCCCUAGAGAAACUUUCCAUGGCGUGCAAGAUGUAUGUAAGAAUGCCCAGUAGAGACAUAAUAAGAAACCAGAAAAAGUGGAAAUCUCAAUGCCUGUCAUCAAGAGAGAUAAAUGCAGCGUGGUCUAUUUCUGUUCUCCUCACAUUGCCCAGAUGCCUGCUUAACUGGGAGGCGUUAUGUUCUCAGUUUUUGCAAGUGUCAUAAAGGAGUGAAUGGAGCAUUACCUGUCAUUAUAGACACUGCAAAAUGAGCUAGUAGCAGGAUUUUUACCACAGGUACCCAUAAGCAACAUGUGGCAUGGUUCACCAUGGUUUUACAUUGUUGUGUAAAUAACUUAAAAUUAUGUGAAUAAUGUAAAAGCAUGGUGAACAAUGCCAUGUUUUGCUUAUGGGUACCUGCGGUAAAAAGCAAAAAUCAUGACCCUGAAGGGGUGAGCAGGCCUACAGGUGCUGGGCAGGCACUGUCUUGCAAAGAGCACAAAAUGUGCAGGUCCCUCUGGGAGUGUUAUAGUGGGUAGCUAGUCAGAAAGAGCAGGGCAGGAGAGGGCUCCCCAUACCCCACACACCAGGAGUGUCAGGUGACCAUCAGGUGAUGGUCUGGCGGUUGUUGACUGUCUUUCUAAAGUAAUAAUUGGUCACACCCGGCAACAGGGAAAAGCCGGCUCCUAAUAGAUAGAAAACACUCGAAACUGGUGAGCAGUAGUUUCCCUAUAAGAUCUCAGGAGUUGAGCCAGUGGGCUCAGGCAGGCACAUGGGACAGCCCACCCCAAGGGAAGAACCAGGGGAGAAAUAACGCAAGACCCCGAAAGCAUGCUGACGUAUAAAACCCCAAGUCAAAAGGUCAAACCACGCACUUGCUUUUUAAGUCGUCCACUUGGCCCUCUUCCAAGUGUACUUUCCUUCCUUUUGUUCCUAUUCUAAAGCUUUUAAAUAAACUUUUACUCCUGUGCUAAAACUUGCCUCAGUCUCUCCUUCUGUCUUAUGUCCCUCAAUUGAAUUCUUUCUUCUGAGGAGGCAGGAAUUGAGGUUGUUGCAGACCUGCGUGGAUUUGCUGCCAGUAGCAGGAGCAGAGGACUAGGCCUUGGAGACGGUGAGGGGGCCACUCCCUCCCUAUCCCCAGGCAUCGGUAAGAUCUGAGACAGACUGCUCUUCCCUUGGAGUGUAUUGCUGACCUUGCCAACUGAAAAUAAACAGCUUCUGAUAGUCUUUACUAACAGAUAAUAGAAAAGAAAAAUUGCCAUCUGCACACCAGGUGCCAGGAGAAGGGUUGAUUAGCUGCAGAAAUGAAACAACACCUGAUCCUGCAGCUGCAGCUGGAGCCCCCGCCUGAUUAAGUUUACACUGGUCCACUGUCAUUUUCCAACACCUAUUUGUCUUCUGCACAAACCAGAUAGGUGAGCUGAAUGGAGAGAGGUGGACAUCAUCAUCCUUCAUCUUUCAAGUUCUUGCUACAAUUCCUCCAGACGUGCAGUGUUGUUUUGUUUAGUAUCUUGGCAGGUAGAGGGAGUUCCAAAGGCUUCCACUUGGCCUUCACUCUAUGGAUCAGAGAAUCAAUAUGGGGAUUCUUCCCCGAUGCAGAGUAUCUCUAUUCCAAUUAUGCUUUCUGUUAAGAAGAUUGUUUCUUUCUGUUUCUCCAGUUGAUGGGGGCACUGGGCUUAUAGUUCUCUGUGGGAGGAGUUCUAAUUACAGAUUGGAUUUCUUUAGUAGAUGUGAGAUUAUUCACAUUUUAUAUUAUUUUUCCAUGUCAAUUUUCUUUAUUUUUCUUUGUCUUUUUAAAAGAUGGGGU
This 4009-nucleotide long non-coding RNA is filed under the name Homo sapiens (human). RNAcentral's name for it is "HSALNT0053990". Lineage: Eukaryota; Metazoa; Chordata; Mammalia; Primates; Hominidae. The record is from RNAcentral.